Molecule: ribosomal RNA, 1166 nt
Filed under: Lactobacillus sp. AB06
Lineage: Bacteria; Bacillati; Bacillota; Bacilli; Lactobacillales; Lactobacillaceae
Description: bacterial SSU rRNA
Rfam family: Bacterial small subunit ribosomal RNA
Source: RNAcentral
AGAGUUUGAUCAUGGCUCAGGACGAACGCUGGCGGCGUGCCUAAUACAUGCAAGUCGAGCGAGCUGAAUUCAAAGAUUCCUUCGGGAUGAUUUGUUGGACGCUAGCGGCGGAUGGGUGAGUAACACGUGGGCAAUCUGCCCUAAAGACUGGGAUACCACUUGGAAACAGGUGCUAAUACCGGAUAACAACAUGAAUCGCAUGAUUCAAGUUUGAAAGGCGGCGCAAGCUGUCACUUUAGGAUGAGCCCGCGGCGCAUUAGCUAGUUGGUGGGGUAAAGGCCUACCAAGGCAAUGAUGCGUAGCCGAGUUGAGAGACUGAUCGGCCACAUUGGGACUGAGACACGGCCCAAACUCCUACGGGAGGCAGCAGUAGGGAAUCUUCCACAAUGGACGCAAGUCUGAUGGAGCAACGCCGCGUGAGUGAAGAAGGUUUUCGGAUCGUAAAGCUCUGUUGUUGGUGAAGAAGGAUAGAGGCAGUAACUGGUCUUUAUUUGACGGUAAUCAACCAGAAAGUCACGGCUAACUACGUGCCAGCAGCCGCGGUAAUACGUAGGUGGCAAGCGUUGUCCGGAUUUAUUGGGCGUAAAGCGAGCGCAGGCGGAAUGAUAAGUCUGAUGUGAAAGCCCACGGCUCAACCGUGGAACUGCAUCGGAAACUGUCAUUCUUGAGUGCAGAAGAGGAGAGUGGAACUCCAUGUGUAGCGGUGGAAUGCGUAGAUAUAUGGAAGAACACCAGUGGCGAAAGCGGCUCUCUGGUCUGCAACUGACGCUGACGCUCGAAAGCAUGGGUAGCGAACAGGAUUAGAUACCCUGGUAGUCCAUGCCGUAAACGAUGAGCGCUAGGUGUUGGGGACUUUCCCGGUCCUCAGUGCCGCAGCAAACGCAUUAAGCGCUCCGCCUGGGGAGUACGACCGCAAAUUGAAACUCAAAGGAAUUGACGGGGGCCCGCACAAGCGGUGGAGCAUGUGUUUAAUUCGAAGCAACGCGAAGAACUUACCAGGUCUUGACAUCCUGGUGACAUUCUAAAGAUAGACUUUCUCUUUCGGAGAAACAAAAGACAGGUGGGUGCAUGCUGUCGUCAGCCUCUUGUCGUGAGAAUGGUUGAGUUAAUUCCCCCACGAGCGCAACCAUGUCCUGUUGCCAUCAUAAUGGGCAUCUUAAAGAACU